RNAcentral lists this non-coding RNA (28 nucleotides) under Mus musculus (house mouse). The record is from RNAcentral. Lineage: Eukaryota; Metazoa; Chordata; Mammalia; Rodentia; Muridae.
UUCUAAAGCAGUGCACCGAGUUCCGCAC